This 753-nucleotide ribosomal RNA is filed under the name uncultured archaeon. RNAcentral's name for it is "bacterial SSU rRNA". It matches the Rfam family "Archaeal small subunit ribosomal RNA", at positions 102 to 856 of the family's 1478-position model. The record is from RNAcentral.
GGACAACCUGCCCAAAGGUCCGGGAUAACCCCGGGAAACUGGGGAUAAUACCGGAUAAAUCACAGGUACUGGAAGGUCUUGUGGUUGAAACUUCCGGGGCCUUUGGAUGGGUCUGCGGCGGAUUAGGUUGUUGCCGGUGUAACGUACCGUCAAGCCUGUAAUCCGUACGGGUUGUGGGAGCAAGAGCCCGGAGAUGGAUUCUGAGACACGAAUCCAGGCCCUACGGGGCGCAGCAGGCGCGAAAACUCUACAAUGCAGGCAACUGCGAUAGGGGAACAUCGAGUGAUACUCAUCUUGGGUGUCUGUCCUCCCGUCUAAAAAACGGGAGUUAGCAAGGGCCGGGCAAGACCGGUGCCAGCCGCCGCGGUAAUACCGGCGGCUCGAGUGGUGGCCGAUAUUAUUGAGUCUAAAGGGUCCGUAGCCGGCUUUGCAAGUCUUUUGGGAAAUCCAGCGGCUUAACCGUUGGUCGUCCGGGAGAUACUACAUUGCUUGGGACUGGGAGAGGUAGGAGGUACUCAGGGGGUAGGAGUGAAAUCCUGUAAUCCUUUGGGGACCACCGGUGGCGAAGGCGUCCUACCAGAACAGGUCCGACGGUGAGGGACGAAAGCUAGGGGCACGAACCGGAUUAGAUACCCGGGUAGUCCUAGCCGUAAACGAUGCUCGCUAGGUGUCACAACAAUCGUGAAUUGUUGUGGUGCCGUAGGGAAGCCGUGAAGCGAGCCACUUGGGAAGUACGACCGCAAGGUUGAAACU